CCUACGGGAGGCAGCAGUGGGGAAUAUUGCACAAUGGGGGAAACCCUGACGCAGCGACGCCGCGUGAGUGAAGAAGGUUUUCGGAUUGUAAAGCUCUAUCAGCUGUGACGAAGAUGACGGUAGCUUCUAAAGAAGCCCCGGCUAACUUCGUGCCAGCAGCCGCGGUAAUACGAAGGGGGCAAGCGUUGUUCGGAAUUACUGGGCGUAAAGGGAGUGUAGGCGGGUUAGUAAGAUAGUGGUGAAAUCCCAGAGCUUAACUUUGGGAUUGCCAUUAUAACUAUUAGACUAGAGUUAUAGAGAGGAUAGCGGAAUACCCAGUGUAGGGGUGAAAUUCGUAGAUAUUGGGUAGAACACCAGUGGCGAAGGCGACUAUCUGGCAGGACACUGACGCUGAGGCUCGAAAGCAUGGGUAUCGAACAGGAUUAGAUACCCGAGUAGUC
Molecule: ribosomal RNA, 440 nt
Filed under: uncultured bacterium
Lineage: Bacteria
Description: partial 16S ribosomal RNA
Rfam family: Bacterial small subunit ribosomal RNA
Source: RNAcentral